UGCACACACAUCUUCUCGCUGUGGGAUGAACAAACAUUAGCCAUUUUCUUGUCCUUCGGUUCCCUAGAGCAGCAGCGUCUGCCAGAAGUCGUGUGAGUAGGAAAGAGAGAACUCAACACUCCACCCUGUCAUCUAAUGGAGCUUCCUGUUUCCUGUUUGGAUGUCACCUUUGAUCAUACCAGGCUCUGGUUGCCUAGGAUCCUCAUUGGUUAGGCACUUCUAUCGCUCAACGCAGAAAUCCAACAUGGUGGUGGCCAAAACACUGUGUACUUAUUCACAAUGCAGUAGUUGGUAGCUGCAUUUUUGACCUGGAUUCACUUGGGAUCACAUCUCGAUGCAUAUUAAAAUGACAUGCAC
Molecule: long non-coding RNA, 357 nt
Organism: Astatotilapia calliptera (eastern happy)
Lineage: Eukaryota; Metazoa; Chordata; Actinopteri; Cichliformes; Cichlidae
Source: Ensembl